GGUGUUUAUAAGAAUUUUUUCACUGUUCUUUCAAAUAGCCUCUCACUGUGUGGAUCCUGGAAAUCUUUUGAAGUUCAUGGCAGUAGCUGGCAUUCAUGCAUAGACUGAGCAGUAAAUUUCCCAGUUAGGUAGUAAACUGCUCAUAGAGGAGACUGUGUAACUUAUCUCUGUGUAAAGCACUAUAACAUCAGCAGGAAGGGUAGACUUCAUUCCUGUUUAACAGCAAGACUUUAAAGCUUCCUUGGGCUCCUGGGCACUGAACUGUGUGUUCAGCUGGGAAGCAGAAAAGCUGCUCUUACUGUUUCUGGACACUUCUGUGUGUUGUAAACCCUGAUGUGACAAUGCAGGCUCUACUCACUUUCACUCCAGGCUCUUGACAUUCCAUGUACUUGAGAGAGCUCUCUGAAUAAUGUAGACAUUUCUCUUUUGAGGCACAGCAUGCAAUUACAGACAAGAUAAAACUGGAAGGUCUCUCUGACAUAUUAAGUUAGGGUUCCAAUGUGUUUAACCUUCAGUGACCUUAAAGAGUCACUAUGACAUUUUUACAAUAGACAGAACUUGAUUAUUAUGAGAUUACCAAGAAAUUACAAAUAACAUCUUGCUUGGCUUUAUGUCCUAGUUCAUUUAAUUAGAUCCUGCCAGGAUUUCCAGUUAUUCAUAGAGGUUUGCUGCCCGGUGCCCGGAAAGUGCUGUUCCCAGUCAAGUCCAGUAGAUAAUUGUGUCUAUUAGUCAAAGCUCUGAACUUGGUUGUCUGAGUUUUGGUCUACUGAAAACAGAUUGGAAGGAUAAAGUGAGUCUUAAAUGGCAUGUUGUACAACACAAAUCCUGAUGAAAAUAGACCAAUACCAUAGUAUGAAAUGCAUUCAUUGAAACAUCAAAUUUAUAAAGAAGAGUAAGAAAAUAAAAAAUCAAGGUAAGUUUACAAAUAAUUCACAAAAAUGAAACUAACUUCACAAAGAAUGUUAUACAAAAUUGCCAACUCGUCAUUCAUGCGUCUUUAAAAUAACCUACAUCUUCAGACUAAUCAUCUUUCUUAAGUGUACUGUCCUACCUUUUUGAUAACUUAGAAAGCAGUGUGGUUACUUGUAUUAAAAUAGUAAUAUGAUGAUCUAAUAAGCACUACUAAAUAGUGCAGAUUAAUUUCCAUUGGGAAGCUAUGGGUUUUUAAACACUGCUUACUUUCUAACCUUAAUUUUCCAAUUAAUAAAUUGCAUAUCAAAAUAAAUGAAAAAGAAACUUUUCAAUUAAUAAAUAUGCAGGAUAAAGGGAAACAAUUGUUCUUAAAUUGUUCAAGAUCCUAAAUUGUUCAUACAAUAUAUUUACCAUGUACAAACAUAUUUUCUGAAGCCAUAAACUACAGCAGGAUCCAUAUACUGACCUUAGAGGUGGAAUGAGCAUCUCUUCAUGCCACAGAAUUCAAUACAGUCAUGGCACAAGAAACCUGAAAGUGCAAGAAAAAUAAAAUCACCAGCUGGAUCUUGGCACCAUAGGAGAUAAAUCAGUGUCAUAUAAAAUGUAAGAAUAAAUCAUUUAAAGGUCAAUAUUUCUAUAUGACUUUAAAUCAAUAAUACAGAAAUCUUAGAGAGUAUUUAUCUUCUGUGUGAGAUAAUAGUAUUGUAUUCAUUCAAAUGAUCUAGCAAACUGAGUGUGAGAUAAUUUGCCCGAAAUGUUAACUGUAUUCGCCCUUGAAAUUCCUGUGCCUGAUGGUCUUGCAGAUACCAAGUCACCCUGCUACUUGAUACCCUGAAUACAGAAAGCCAUUACAGAGGGACACGCAUGUACCUCAUGACUGAAGAACAGGAAGGAGGUGGGAAAUAGGGAGGUGGCUGAUCUCCAUUUUCCCGUAAUCAAGAAUCUCUAAGUGCCUUGGAGAGCAGAUGUUGGAGUUUUGUGUAAGAAUCUGUAAUUCCAGUGAGGAAAAAUGACUUUGAUGAGUUUCAAGAUAUUUGGCUCAAAAUAAAAGCAGAGCUGACCUCUCAUUUAAAAAUUCCCAAACAGAUUCUGAAUACUCUGAUUUGAAUUUGGCUCUAAAUAUACACUGGAGGAUGUUUCAAAAGGGAAACUUUUGUCAAUGUGAAAACAAUAGAAGCUCAGCUACCCA
This is a long non-coding RNA of Neopsephotus bourkii (Bourke's parrot), 2101 nucleotides long. RefSeq lists it as uncharacterized. Lineage: Eukaryota; Metazoa; Chordata; Aves; Psittaciformes; Psittacidae. The record is from RefSeq and is a predicted model, not a curated record. The transcript has 3 exons.